UCCGACAGCUAGUGCCAAGUCCGAGCCCAGUCCACAUUUGGAUAGUCCUGUGACCACAUCAUCAUCAUUAUUAACCUUAGCCCAAGAACCGCAACCAUAAUCGUUGUGGUGUUUGUUGAGAUUGUAUUUAAGUUUCCAACCCGUCUUUCAUUUAAGUGGAAAUAAAAAGAGGAAGAAUGAACAGCGCCAUGUAUGCUACAUUCUAUUUGUUUUACAAAUUGUUCUAAUGAAAUAAUUGUAUAAAUGUACAAGACUGUAAAGUCUUGGACAGUAAGAUUGCAAUGUUUGCAUCCAAUGCUUGUGAAGAUUUUUUUUUUUAAGUACAUUGUAUUGUUCAUUAACUUUACAAUAACUUUUAGUAUAUUGUAUUGUUCAUUAAUUUUCCAAUAACUUUUAGUAUAUGAAACAAAUAUCUUAGUAUUUCCAAUUCUUGUUCUGUAUUAAUCUAACAAUGUUGUAUGCAUGGUGUUGUUAUACAUGGGAUGGUUAUUGAAUUAUAUGUUGAUGUGAUGAUAUUUCUAUACAUUUGUUAUAAAAAUCUACUAUUUAGUUGUGAUAGAAUUACUUAUCUUGGACCUGUUUAUUGGAAAUAUAAAAUGUGUUAAUUUUGAAAGUUUUCAUUUUAUUGAAAGAUUUAUUCAUUUAAAUUUCAAGAACUUCCUCUGACCACUAUUUAGACAUGUCAAAAA
Biomphalaria pfeifferi is the source of this 689-nucleotide non-coding RNA. The record is from the annotation of a GenBank genome assembly. NCBI's taxonomy places the organism in Eukaryota, Metazoa, Mollusca, Gastropoda, Planorbidae.